RNAcentral lists this ribosomal RNA (468 nucleotides) under uncultured bacterium. RNAcentral describes it as "partial 16S ribosomal RNA". It matches the Rfam family "Bacterial small subunit ribosomal RNA", at positions 28 to 507 of the family's 1533-position model. The record is from RNAcentral.
GACGAACGCUGGCGGCGUGCUUAACACAUGCAAGUCGAACGGAAAGGCCCUGCUUUUGUGGGGUGCUCGAGUGGCGAACGGGUGAGUAACACGUGAGUAACCUGCCCUUGACUUUGGGAUAACUUCAGGAAACUGGGGCUAAUACAGGAUAGGAGCUCCUGCUGCAUGGUGGGGGUUGGAAAGUUUCGGCGGUUGGGGAUGGACUCGCGGCUUAUCAGCUUGUUGGUGGGGUAGUGGCUUACCAAGGCUUUGACGGGUAGCCGGCCUGAGAGGGUGACCGGCCACAUGGGGACUGAGAGACGGCCCAGACUCCUACGGGAGGCAGCAGGGGGGAAUAUUGCACAAUGGGCGGAAGCCUGAUGCAGCAACGCCGCGUGCGGGAUGACGGCCUUCGGGUGGUAAACCGCUUUCGCCUGUGACGAAGCGUGAGUGACGGUAAUGGGUAAAGAAGCACCGGCUAACUACGUG